UGCAGUCGAGCGGUAGCACAGAGAGCUUGCUCUCGGGUGACGAGCGGCGGACGGGUGAGUAAUGUCUGGGAAACUGCCUGAUGGAGGGGGAUAACUACUGGAAACGGUAGCUAAUACCGCAUAACGUCGCAAGACCAAAGUGGGGGACCUUCGGGCCUCAUGCCAUCAGAUGUGCCCAGAUGGGAUUAGCUAGUAGGUGGGGUAACGGCUCACCUAGGCGACGAUCCCUAGCUGGUCUGAGAGGAUGACCAGCCACACUGGAACUGAGACACGGUCCAGACUCCUACGGGAGGCAGCAGUGGGGAAUAUUGCACAAUGGGCGCAAGCCUGAUGCAGCCAUGCCGCGUGUGUGAAGAAGGCCUUCGGGUUGUAAAGCACUUUCAGCGGGGAGGAAGGCGUUAAGGUUAAUAACCUUGGCGAUUGACGUUACCCGCAGAAGAAGCACCGGCUAACUCCGUGCCAGCAGCCGCGGUAAUACGGAGGGUGCAAGCGUUAAUCGGAAUUACUGGGCGUAAAGCGCACGCAGGCGGUCUGUCAAGUCGGAUGUGAAAUCCCCGGGCUCAACCUGGGAACUGCAUUCGAAACUGGCAGGCUAGAGUCUUGUAGAGGGGGGGUAGAAUUCCAGGUGUAGCGGUGAAAUGCGUAGAGAUCUGGAGGAAUACCGGUGGCGAAGGCGGCCCCCUGGACAAAGACUGACGCUCAGGUGCGAAAGCGUGGGGAGCAAACAGGAUUAGAUACCCUGGUAGUCCACGCCGUAAACGAUGUCGAUUUGGAGGUUGUGCCCUUGAGGCGUGGCUUCCGGAGCUAACGCGUUAAAUCGACCGCCUGGGGAGUACGGCCGCAAGGUUAAAACUCAAAUGAAUUGACGGGGGCCCGCACAAGCGGUGGAGCAUGUGGUUUAAUUCGAUGCAACGCGAAGAACCUUACCUGGUCUUGACAUCCACAGAAAUUUCCAGAGAUGCAUUGGUGCCUUCGGGAACUGUGAGACAGGUGCUGCAUGGCUGUCGUCAGCUCGUGUUGUGAAAUGUUGGGUUAAGUCCCGCAACGAGCGCAACCCUUAUCCUUUGUUGCCAGCGGUUAGGCCGGGAACUCAAAGGAGACUGCCAGUGAUAACUUGGAG
RNAcentral lists this ribosomal RNA (1120 nucleotides) under Klebsiella sp. Its description in RNAcentral is "bacterial SSU rRNA". It matches the Rfam family "Bacterial small subunit ribosomal RNA", at positions 56 to 1168 of the family's 1533-position model. Lineage: Bacteria; Pseudomonadati; Pseudomonadota; Gammaproteobacteria; Enterobacterales; Enterobacteriaceae. The record is from RNAcentral.